This 302-nucleotide long non-coding RNA is filed under the name Elaeis guineensis (African oil palm). RNAcentral describes it as "long non-coding RNA (EGUI_LNC002512)". The record is from RNAcentral. Lineage: Eukaryota; Viridiplantae; Streptophyta; Magnoliopsida; Arecales; Arecaceae.
CAACGCCCAUAACCACUCCAAUAUUCUCAUGGGAGGUGCUCCUUGUUUAUCUCCUUUUAAAUAGGAGUAGGUAGUUAGGGUUUUAGAGUCCAAGAGCACUUGGACUCUUAGUGCCGCCCACCCUUUCCAUGCCCUCUUCCUUUUAAUGCAAAUAAUAAUCACAUAGAGAAAUAUGGGGCGUGAGGCAUCUUCAAUGAAGAGUCCUUCUGCAGUUUGAUCUCCUCGUUUGACUUGGAUAGAUUAGGUCAAGGUUGGUUGAAAAUUAAAUCAAAUUUGGAGUCCAACUUAGAUUAGGUUUCAAC